This 1008-nucleotide ribosomal RNA is filed under the name human gut metagenome. Its description in RNAcentral is "bacterial LSU rRNA". It matches the Rfam family "Bacterial large subunit ribosomal RNA", at positions 1919 to 2925 of the family's 2925-position model. The record is from RNAcentral.
CCCAGUAAACGGCGGCCGUAACUAUAACGGUCCUAAGGUAGCGAAAUUCCUUGUCAGGUAAGUUCUGACCCGCACGAAAGGCGUAACGAUUUGGGCGCUGUCUCGGCAGCAGACUCGGUGAAAUCUUAGUACCUGUGAAAAUGCAGGUUACCCGCAACUAGACGGAAAGACCCCAUGGAGCUUUACUGUAGCCUGAUAUUGAAUUUUGAUCAAAGAUGUACAGGAUAGGUGGGAGGCUGUGAGACGUGUACGCCAGUAUACGAGGAGCCGCUGUUGGGAUACCACUCUUGUUUGAUUGAAGUUCUAACCUGCACCCAUGAACUGGGUGAGGGACCGUGUCAGGUGGGCAGUUUGACUGGGGCGGUCGCCUCCUAAAGAGUAACGGAGGCGCCCAAAGGUACGCUCAGAUUGGAUGGAAAUCAAUCGACGAGUGCAAAUGCAGAAGCGUGCUUGACUGUGAGACAAACAAGUCGAACAGGGACGAAAGUCGGGAUUAGUGAUCCGGCGGUGCCGAAUGGAAGGGCCGUCGCUCAACGGAUAAAAGCUACCCUGGGGAUAACAGGCUGAUCUCGCCCAAGAGUUCACAUCGACGGCGAGGUUUGGCACCUCGAUGUCGGCUCAUCGCAUCCUGGGGCUGAAGUAGGUCCCAAGGGUUGGGCUGUUCGCCCAUUAAAGCGGUACGCGAGCUGGGUUCAGAACGUCGUGAGACAGUUCGGUCCCUAUCUGUUGUGGGCGUUGGAGAUCUGAGGAGAGCUGUCCUUAGUACGAGAGGACCGGGAUGGACCUACCGCUGGUGCACCAGUUGUUCCGCCAGGAGCAUAGCUGGGUAGCUAAGUAGGGAAGGGAUAAGCGCUGAAAGCAUCUAAGCGCGAAGCCUACUCCAAGAUGAGAUCUCCCAUUCGUAAAACGAAGUAAGACCCCUUGAAGACGACGAGGUGGAUAGGUCAGAGAUGGAAGUGUAGCGAUACAUGGAGUUGACUGAUACUAAUAGGUCGAGGACUUAAUCAC